This is a long non-coding RNA of Podarcis raffonei (Aeolian wall lizard), 2574 nucleotides long. RefSeq lists it as uncharacterized. The transcript is spliced from 3 exons. The record is from RefSeq and is a predicted model, not a curated record. NCBI's taxonomy places the organism in Eukaryota, Metazoa, Chordata, Lepidosauria, Squamata, Lacertidae.
UCCCGGCGGAGUCGCAGGGAGAAUUUUUGUUUCGUUUUGCUCCGGUUUUCUCGCCUACUUUUUUUUUUUUUUUUACAGAAAGCAGUUCCGCGUCUUAAAAUCGGAUAAAUAUUUGCUGAGCCGGCGAAAGCUUGCCGUGAAGGCCAGCAGCGCCAACCCUUUCCUUUAGCUUACACAGCGCCGACUACGGACUUCCCCUCAGGAGGGAGGCGUUGCCUUAGCGAGCCGGCCGAGUCUGAGGGGAGAAAAGGCCGCGGCCAGAGGAGCGAGGGAGGCCGAAUCACCUCAGAGCGCCAAAAGCCCGCCUUCCCCCGAGCCAAAAUGGGGCGGAUGCCUCGCUACGCCAGGCUACACUCGGUUUCUCAGACUGCCGGCAUGAGGAGGGAAACCCUUACGAGUCCCCGCAAAACUCGCCCCUGGCUGUCCGCUUCCUCCCCUGGCUGCGCCGCCAUUGCAAGGCUGAAGGGGGAAGGAAGAGCCGCCUCAUGGCCGCCUCAGCAAGACUGGCCUGAGGCAAGUGCCACUGCUUUAUCCGCGCAGCCAGGGCAAAGUGGAGCAGGAGUGUACUGUUUCGACAGCAUCUCCCCCAAAAGCCUAGAAGCAGUUCUUCAUUUCUUUUGCUUACAUUAUUUAAGAAAAAUAAAAAUAUUCGCCCCCGCAGAUCCAAGGAGUGAAGUGGCGCAGCAGGUGGUUCUUUAUUAUUUCUUGAAUUUACUGUAUAUACCGCCCUUAUACCCGGAGGUCUCACAGGGCGGUUCACAUAAAAGGAGCAACAUAAAAACCACAAACUCAAACGAAAAAUAACAACCCAAUUACACCCCCCCCCAAAAAAGAGACACACAUUUUUUUAAAAGGGCAUUCCUCUUCCUAGUACCUCACAACGACCCUGUGAGGUAGGUUAGGCAGAGAAAGCGUGGGGAGGGGGUACAUGAUUGACUCAAGGUGGGCUGAGUGGGGGGAUAUGAACCCUGGUCUCCCACCCGGGAUCCUUUUUUUUGUAUGUGAGCAAGUGGCCCUCAUAAUGCCACCUCAGAAGUAAAACCCGCCAAGUCUCAGGUAAAAUGGGCACAGCCUAAGCAAAGGAAGGAAAGCAUGCAUGUGAACAAAGAGACGGAUUACAGAAAUAGGGCAGCAAGAUGCUGGUGCGUUUUUUAUCCUAUUUAAAGGCUGCUUUUGUUCCAUUUCUCUCAGCUAAAACUUUUUGGCAAGGCCUGUGUGCACAUUCCAAGCACGUUCACAUUUCUGUCUCAGCGACGUCUACGCUGGCUUGGUCUUGUGCACAGAAUGGAAGAUGGCAAGAUCCCCACGGGCGUCUGGCUUCAGGCACUGGCAUGACACGAAGGCUAGCAACAUCAACCCCACUGGUGUGGGAAUAAUCCCAUUGCAUGGAGACGGCUAUGUCAGGUCAUAUAUCCACAGCAGUGACCAGGCGAGGGAUGACUGCUGGGAGGAGUGAAGAAAGAAGAAACGCCAUGGUGCACCUGCAGCAGCACAACUGGAUGCCUUCAUCUGCCUUGGCUGCGACAAAACACGUGUUGGUAUCUGCAGCCACAGCAGGCGCUGUAACUCCAACGGUUUGACUUCUCCUGAAGGUGCACUCUUCCAUAUUCUUCCAGACAGAUGCCAACAUCAUCAGUGCUAGAGUGCAGAAUUAGCGCUGAGGACAUCAAGGUUGAAACGGCUACACAGCAGGUGGUGCAAAGUCCAUCCCAUGAUCUCCAAGAAGGAACCAGAAAUAAGAGUAAUGUAUCAGGCCCAAUGACCAGGGGACGGACAUGACUGAUCCAGAUACUUCAGGGUUUGACCCUACGAAAAUCAUUUACCCACCGAAAAAAUGGAAAAACAAAUGACUCAAAAAGUUUUGCAGCAAGUUGAAGGCUGCCAAGAAGGUACCGGGACCACAUUGCUCACUGCUUUUGAUGUGAAAGACUAGCACCGAGAGUCAGUGUGGUGUAGUGGAUUAGGGGGCCCAAAGUGCUAGAUAACACUCUUACUGGUGACAUGAGAAAUCUUUAAAAUUCCUGUUAACACCAUAAUAAUUCCUAGUGUAAUGUCCUUUUGUUUUGAGCUGAAAUGAGUUAUGUGAACAGCCCAUUUAAAAUGUUUCGAUCAUUAUCCCUUUUAAAUAUGAAGUCUUACCUUGAAAGAGGGUACUAUCUUUGAUCUUCAUAUUCACAUUCAUAUUCAUUUAUAGAACUCGGGUCAGGAUUCAUCUGAGUCCCAUCAAUUGAAGCCCUGUGCAACAACUUCCGCAAUGAGGUCUUCCCCCUCUUCUCCCCCAUGCCCUCUCCCCAAUUGGUUGGGGUGGGUGGGUUGGGGAACACCCAAAACAGCACUUUGGGAGCAGGAAGGAAAGGGCAGAUCAUUUUGUCUGGCAAGCUGAAAUGUGCUGCCAGAAUGAUCAGAAGACUGUGACAUUGAAUUCCUCCCCUUUCCAGAGCAUACCUUCACAAUAUUUCCAUAACAAAAUAAAUUUUCUUAAAUUCAUUGGUGAAUAUAAUGCAUUAACAUCACCUGAUCGUGAAUUCUUAGAAAUAUUUUAAUGGGGAAGCACACACAGGUUUUACACUUUUC